AGUGAACGCUGGCGGUAGGCCUAACACAUGCAAGUCGAACGGCAGCACAGUAAGGGCUUGCUCUUACGGGUGGCGAGUGGCGGACGGGUGAGGAAUACAUCGGAAUCUACUUUUUCGUGGGGGAUAACGUAGGGAAACUUACGCUAAUACCGCAUACGACCUACGGGUGAAAGCAGGGGAUCUUCGGACCUUGCGCGAUUGAAUGAGCCGAUGUCGGAUUAGCUAGUUGGCGGGGUAAAGGCCCACCAAGGCGACGAUCCGUAGCUGGUCUGAGAGGAUGAUCAGCCACACUGGAACUGAGACACGGUCCAGACUCCUACGGGAGGCAGCAGUGGGGAAUAUUGGACAAUGGGCGCAAGCCUGAUCCAGCCAUACCGCGUGGGUGAAGAAGGCCUUCGGGUUGUAAAGCCCUUUUGUUGGGAAAGAAAAGCAGCAGGUUAAUACCCCGCUGUUCUGACGGUACCCAAAGAAUAGGCACCGGCUAACUUCGU
Molecule: ribosomal RNA, 491 nt
Filed under: uncultured bacterium
Lineage: Bacteria
Description: partial 16S ribosomal RNA
Rfam family: Bacterial small subunit ribosomal RNA
Source: RNAcentral